AGAGUUUGAUCCUGGCUCAGGAUGAACGCUGGCGGUCUGCUUAACACAUGCAAGUCGAACGGGAAUCUUCGGAUUCUAGUGGCGGACGGGUGAGUAACGCGUGAGAAUCUGCCUUCAGGACGGGGAUAACAGUUGGAAACGACUGCUAAGACCGGAUGUGCCGAGAGGUGAAAUAUUUAUAGCCUGAAGAUGAGCUCGCGUCCGAUUAGCUAGUUGGUAAGGUAAAAGCUUACCAAGGCGACGAUCGGUAGCUGGUCUGAGAGGACGAUCAGCCACACUGGGACUGAGACACGGCCCAGACUCCUACGGGAGGCAGCAGUGGGGAAUUUUCCGCAAUGGGCGAAAGCCUGACGGAGCAAGACCGCGUGGGGGAGGAAGGUUCUUGGAUUGUAAACCCCUUUUCUCAGGGAAGAACACAAUGACGGUACCUGAGGAAUCAGCAUCGGCUAACUCCGUGCCAGCAGCCGCGGUAAUACGGAGGAUGCAAGCGUUAUCCGGAAUAAUUGGGCGUAAAGCGUCCGUAGGUGGCUGUUCAAGUCUGUCGUUAAAGACCGGGGCUUAACCCCGGAAAGGCGGUGGAAACUGAACGGCUAGAGUGCAGUAGGGGUAGAGGGAAUUCCCAGUGUAGCGGUGAAAUGCGUAGAGAUUGGGAAGAACACCGGUGGCGAAAGCGCUCUGCUGGACUGCAACUGACACUGAGGGACGAAAGCUAGGGGAGCGAAUGGGAUUAGAUACCCUAGUAGUCC
Molecule: ribosomal RNA, 746 nt
Filed under: uncultured bacterium
Lineage: Bacteria
Description: bacterial SSU rRNA
Rfam family: Bacterial small subunit ribosomal RNA
Source: RNAcentral